GGCGGGCGGCGAGGGAGAGUCAUGCCAUUCGCCGGGGGCUCGGUGCGGGGACCGCGGGCGAGGCGCCCCCAGCCGCCGCCGAGCACCCAACGCGUUUGACAGCUGCUCGGCAAAACACCGGCCGGCAGCCGUCGCUGCGGGGGAUGCGGGGCGCGGGUGUGGGUUGCCCCCCUCAGGGCGACAAGUUGCGGCCCGCGGCCGGAGCCACGCAACGAAGAGGCGCUGCUUUCAGCCGUAGGGGCGAGGGGUUGCGUUCCUUGCCUUGCGUUGCCUUUCAGAGCACGUCGCCCUCCUUCCCUGUACCCCGGGCCUUCGCCGGUAGGAGCCGGACAGCAGCUGGGAUUCAUUCCCGUUGACGUUAGGUUUUCUAGCACAAGUAGAUCAGGACAGGCUUGGCAAUUAAAGGUUUAUAUUUAGUCUACUCCCAUUUUGCAUUGUUCUCUCGGAAACACAAUCGUUUCGGUUGGAAAAGACAUUUUCAGAUCAUCAGCUCCAGCCAUUAAAUAAAUCCCUAACAGCAGUGAAAGAA
Molecule: long non-coding RNA, 529 nt
Organism: Pogoniulus pusillus (Red-fronted tinkerbird)
Lineage: Eukaryota; Metazoa; Chordata; Aves; Piciformes; Lybiidae
Exons: 2
Source: RefSeq, a predicted model, not a curated record